RNAcentral lists this unclassified non-coding RNA (262 nucleotides) under plant metagenome. RNAcentral's name for it is "partial contains small subunit ribosomal RNA, internal transcribed spacer 1, and 5.8S ribosomal RNA". The record is from RNAcentral.
UUUCCGUAGGUGAACCUGCGGAAGGAUCAUUAUUGUAUAACCGAGGUGCGAGGGCUGUCGCUGACCCGAAAGGUCGUGCACGCCCGAGUGCCCUCACACACAUCCAUCUCACCUCGAUGUGCACCACCGCGUGGGUCCCCCUUUGGCUUGUUCGGAGGGGGGCUUACGUUUUCACACAAACUUUGUAUGCAGUGUAGAAUGUAUUUUUGUUUUUGCGAUCACGCAACCAGUACAACUUUCAACAACGGAUCUCUUGGCUCUC